CAGGUUGAUGUAAAUCGUAUGUGUCUAACUUCGACGGUUCAUUAAAAUGGCGGAACGCCACUAAAUGAUCGUGUUUAUCGCCUGUUGAUGAUCUCCCUUGUGGCAUUAGCUUUCGAUUCUGCAUUUUCUAGCGCUAAUGUAUAUUGAUUCCCAAUGGAGAAUGAAACCGAAUCUGCCUCUACUUCAUCUCUUGCUUGGCGUUGGACAAUCGAAGCCCUUGCAAGUUUCGAGGAAGUGAAACCAUCUCUAUUACAUGAUGUAAUUGAUAACGUUUCAGAAUUACUUGAUGGUACUAGAAAGAAUGGCGUGGAGAUGGUUUCAUUGAAAUGCUUGGAGGGUUUGUUUGGUUCUUUAAAUUAUAUUGGAGAAACUGUUCUUCCUGUUCAAGAAUCAAAAGUUAUGUUUGAUUCAUCUGAGAGAUGUGAAGAUGUUGUUAAACGCAUUUAUAAGGAGACUCCAAAAUCUGCUUUAAGAGUGGCUGGACCAGAUAUGUUAAAAUGGGAUGUUAGAUCCUUUACUGAUCAAAAAAGAGCAUCCAUGCGUUGCACAUUACAUAAGAUGAAAGAUGCAAUUCUCGAUGGUACACAUCCUUGUGCUGAUUUCUUAAUGCAAAAGAGUGGGUUAACACCCAUAAAUAAGAGGGAUAACAUUUGUCUGAAUAAUGAGGAUUGUAUCGAGCUCAGCGGGAGACUUGAUAUUAGCUCCUCUGGUCCUCGAGGUCAAAAUGAGAAGGGUAAAAGAAGCCCUUUACUUGAGGAUGAUAGAAGAAUAUCAGUGGUGAACCCACCUAUCUCUAGUUUGUUACCUUCUAAAAGGAGUGGUGUUGAAUUUACGUCUGAAGACGAGGCUAGACAGUUACCUGGAUGUGAUGAUGGUUACAUUAAUGUCAAGAAGCUUAAGCAGCAUUCUGCGCAUACUUCAUUUUCAGAACAGGAAGUGGCUUCUUCACAUGAAACAGAGGUGUUAGAAGAUUCAUCUGAAAGAAGUGUGCUGCAAAAUGAGAGAGAUGAUACUGAUCGCUUGGAUGAACAUCAGAUAACUUUGGUGGACGACGAACUUGUAGAGGAUGUGCAUUUUGGGUCAAAGAAAUCGCAUCAGGAUCAAUCAUGGAUUUCUUGUUAUACUAUGCCGGCUAGUACACAAGAUGGUGACAUGCUGGAAGUUGUUUGUGUCGAGAAAGUGAAAGAUGGAAGUGAACUGCCUUUUGAACCAAAAACAUCUAAUCCUUCUCCUGCUGAAGGAAACCUUCAUAACACCAGCCCUGACAAUUCCAAGUGUGACUCUGGGCAUGAUUAUCAUGUAAAUGAAACAAAUACUAUGUCUCCUAGUGGAUUUAUGUCAAAGACUGUUGCUAGAAAUAUGGAGGUUGGUGUGUAUCCGGAUGAGAAAGAGAAAGAUUUGUUAAGUGAUAGUGAUGGAUAUCAUGAAACGAUAGACAUUGCCACGAGAAAAAAAGAAUUUCUUAGUUUGCAAUGUAUGGUUGAUCACGAUUCUUUUCCAUUAGCUGACAGUAGAGUUCUUGCAGUUUGUGUGAAAUGUAAUGAGGGUGGUCAGUUGUUGUGUUGUAACAUUAGUGAUUGUCCUUUGGUGGUUCAUGCCAAGUGCUUGAGUUCCUCGACUAGUAUGACCGAUGAAGGUGACUUUUGUUGUCCUUUCUGCUUGUAUUCACUUGCUAUAUCAGAAUACCUCGAAGCUAAGAAGCACGUUGCAUUGGUAAAAAAAAAUGUUGCUUCGUUUGUUCGUACUGCUUUGGAACAUCAAUCAGUAGUUCUUCAAGAGGUAUUGCAACAAAAGGAUUUUGACCCUUCACAAAGAGCUGUAGUUGAGGAUGUUGCUAAAAUUUGUGAAGAUGUGGACUUGGAAAGUAAAGACAAUCAAGUAAGUCUAGAUGGAGAACGUGUAAAUGAAGUUGUUGACCAUCAAUCGACAACAGAUACAGAUACCGAACAAAUAACAGAGCUAUCAAAACCAUUGCAUAUUGCCAAUUCCAAUCAUAGAGAAAACAAGGCAAGUCCUUCGAGUGUAGCAUCUGAUGCUUUAUUAGGCGAGGAAAAUGGCUACGAAUUGCUGGACCAAGAGUGUCAAGGCAAUACAGUUGCAGGUGUGGUGGACCAAAAGUGUCGAGGAAAUGUUGCAGAACAGGAAGAUGGUCAAAAAGACACCGAGCAGCAUGACAUUGAUGAAAUUCUCCACGAAGGUCGUGGGCCAGUUGAACCAGCAGCUAUGCAAAAUGGUUUACAGUACCAAACUGAUGACAGCGAAGGCAAAGCUGCUCGUGCAAUUUUCACUGUAAGGAGAAAAAUCUUCUGAUGAUGGCAAUGACGAAUCUAUCAUUUCUAGAUACUCCAUAAGAUUUCGACAGAAAUGUCAUCAUACAAGUCCAGAAACUCAUCCAUUAAGACGGAAGAAACUACCCUGGACAGCUGAGGAGGAGGAGACUCUAUUGGUAGUCAUCUUUUAUCCAUUAAUAUUUCUUUUUUAAAUUAAAGAAUUUAUGGUAAAAAUGAUUUCAUACGCUU
This is an RNA transcript of Cucurbita maxima (winter squash), 2519 nucleotides long. RefSeq lists it as uncharacterized. Lineage: Eukaryota; Viridiplantae; Streptophyta; Magnoliopsida; Cucurbitales; Cucurbitaceae. The transcript is spliced from 6 exons. The record is from RefSeq and is a predicted model, not a curated record.